RNAcentral lists this ribosomal RNA (601 nucleotides) under uncultured Bacteroidota bacterium. RNAcentral describes it as "uncultured Bacteroidetes bacterium partial 16S ribosomal RNA". RNAcentral also lists the same sequence under 1 other name. The record is from RNAcentral. Lineage: Bacteria; Pseudomonadati; Bacteroidota.
UGUUACCUUGUUACGACUUAGCCCCAGUUACCAGUUUUACCCUAGGCCGCUCCUUGCGGUGACAGACUUCAGGUACCCCCGGCUUCCAUGGCUUGACGGGCGGUGUGUACAAGGCCCGGGAACGUAUUCACCGCAUCAUGGCUGAUAUGCGAUUACUAGCGAAUCCACCUUCACGGAGUCGAGUUGCAGACUCCGAUCCGAACUGAGACCGGCUUUCGAGAUUUGCAUCAUAUCACUAUGUAGCUGCCCUCUGUACCGGCCAUUGUAACACGUGUGUAGCCCUGGACGUAAGGGCCGUGCUGAUUUGACGUCAUCCCCACCUUCCUCGCGGUUUACACCGGCAGUCUCGCUAGAGUCCUCAGCAUUACCUGCUAGCAACUAACGAUAGGGGUUGCGCUCGUUAUGGGACUUAACCCGACACCUCACGGCACGAGCUGACGACAACCAUGCAGCACCUUGUAAAUUGUCCGAAGAAAGAAUGGUUUCCCAUUCAAGCAAUCUACAUUUAAGCCCAGGUAAGGUUCCUCGCGUAUCAUCGAAUUAAACCGCAUGUUCCUCCGCUUGUGCGGGCCCCCGUCAAUUCCUUUGAGUUUCAAUCUUG